GGACUUUUAUUUUAUAAAAAAUAUUAAUUUGUAAAAUUAAAGAAAAAUGUCUA
This 53-nucleotide transfer RNA is filed under the name Meloidogyne javanica (root-knot nematode). Its description in RNAcentral is "tRNA-Tyr". RNAcentral also lists the same sequence under 2 other names. Lineage: Eukaryota; Metazoa; Nematoda; Chromadorea; Rhabditida; Meloidogynidae. The record is from RNAcentral.